AGCAUGCUAGGGUUUCUUUAUUUUAUUAUUAUCUAAUCCCUCAUGUCUUAUGGGAGCGCAUUGUAAGUUAUUUAUGCUAUCCAGGUACGCCCCCCCCCCCCCCCCCUAUCGCCUACUUUCUAAAUUUUGUAAACAAUCGUGUCACUAUGAAGUAUGCAUAUGUUUGAUAAUCCUUAGGUGUUUAGAUGUAUGUUUGAUUCACUAUGAUUAAAUACAUGUUGUGUGUUAUACUUCUAUACUAACUCUGAUGUUUUAUGAUAGCGCUUGAGAAGCGGUCCGGGUACGCAUCCUAACCUUUCUUUUAUGGCAAUUUGAUCUUGUUUAGCAUGCAAAUUUUUUGAAAUCACCUAGCCUACUUAGGUAUCCAUAAUUAACCGAUUAAUUGCCAUAUUCCCCUUAACUUAAUUAGUAGAGACCUCUUUAGGGCUUAGAGGGGUGCUACCUCCUAGAGGUACCUUCCCAAUAAGUAACCUGAUCCCCGGACCAAGACUUGGGUUUUCAAAGACACACUUUUCCAAAAAUUAUGGAGUCAUUUUUUUUAGGGUUUUAUUUCUUGUUUUAUUUUCCCUUCAAAAAUAAAAAUAAAAUAAGUGGCGACUCCAACUUUUUUUCAAAAAAUCAAAUUUUCACAAAUAAAUAAAAAGCGAGUCUCGCCAAUUGAGUGGGGACGCACGUGAAAAAUGCGGGUCCACACCAACAAAUCUCCCACUUGGAGACUAGCUCAAUCACCAACAUCAAACCGCUAUCCUCCAAGAAACAAUCACUCGUCCCUGUAACUCAUUCUCCUAUCCUCAAGCUAGAAGACUAAUUGAAGCUGCACACAGCUUCAACUUCUCAAUAGUAACACCCUUAGUCAACAUGUCUGUCGGGUUCUUAGAUCCACAAAUCUUCUCAUAUUACCAGUUUAUUUUCAACAAGAUAACGGAUAAAGUGAUAUUUUGUUUGUAUAUGCUUCAACUUUGAAUGAAAAGCCGAAUUUUUGGCAAGAAAAAUUGCACUCUGACUAUCACUGUGUAGAAUGUCCAUCUCCUGCUUCUUACCCAAUUCAUCUAAGAAACCAUAUAGCCAAAUCAUCUCUUUUUCAACUUCAGUUGCUACAACAUACUCAACUUCUGUAGUAGACAAAGUAACGAUCUUCUGUAGAUUUGAAGUCCAUGAUAUAGUUGUACCACCUAGAGUAAAAACAAACCCAGUAGUACUCUUUCUACUAUCAAUAUCACCAGCAAAAUCAGCAUCUACAUAACCCCGCAGUUUCAAAUUUGCACCUGUGAAGCAAAGACAUGUAUCUAAUGAACCCUUCAGAUAUCUUAGAAUCCACUUGACUGCCUCUCAAUGCUGCUUUCCAAGCCUACUCAUGAAUCUACUCACAACUCCCACUGCAUGUGCAAUGUCUGGCCUUGUACACACCAUAACAUACAUCAAGCUGCCAAUAGCUGAAACAUAGGGCACCUUGCUCAUAUGGUCCCUUUCUUCUUCUGUCUUUGGUGAAUGUUCUUUACUUAGUUUGAAAUGACUACCCAAGGGUGUGCUCACUGGAUUAGCUUCAUUCAUGUUGAACCUGCUAAGAACUUUCUUCACAUACUCUAACUGUGAAAGCUUCAAUGUACCAUUAGCCUUGUCUCUAAUGAUUCUCAUACCAAGGAUUUGUUUUGCAGCUCCCAAAUCCUUUAUUGCAAACUGUUUGGACAAUUGCUUCUUCAGAUUAUUAAUUUUCUCAAUGUCAGGCCUUGCAAUAAGCAUAUCAUCCACAUACAACAAUAAUAUGAUGUAAGAAUUAUCAAAAGACUUAACAUAGCAACAGUGAUCAGCUUCACAUCUCUUGAACCCAAUUCUAUGCAUAAAAUUGUCAAACUUCUUAUACCACUGUCUAGGAGCUUGUUUAAGGUCAUACAAGCUCUUUCUCAGUUUACAUACUAGAUUCUCUUAUCCCUGAACAAUGAACCCUUCUGGCUGAAUCAUGUAAAGGUCUUCCUCCAAGUCACCAUGAAGGAAUGUUGUCUUCACAUCUAAUUGCUCAAGAUGUAAGUUUUCUGCAGCCACCAUUCCAAGUACAAGUCUAAUUGUUGACAUCUUCACAACUGGAGAAAAUAUCUGUGUAGUCAAUGCCCUCCUUCUGCUGGAACCUUUUAACAACUAAUCUAGUUUUGUAACAUUUGCUACCAUCAUGCUCGUUCUUUAUUCUGUAUACCCACUUGUUGUGCAAAGCCUUCUUUCCUAUUGGCAAUUCAGUCAGUUCCCAUGUCUGAUUCCCUAAUAGGGAAUCCAUCUCAUCCUUCAUGGCUAACUCCCACUUGCUUGAAUUUUCAUCUUGCAAGGCUUCAUCAUAACACUCUGGCUCACCACCAUCAGUUAAUAGGAGAUAAUUUAAAACAGGUGAAUAACGCUGCGGAGGUCUAAUGUUCUUAGAAGAUCUGCAAACUUCAGCUACAGGUGUACUCAAAUCUACCUAUGAAUUUACAUUCUCCUCAUCUUCUUCACCCCCUUUUUGGACAGUACUUUCAGUCAAUUCAUCUAAGUUGACAAACUCAAAUUUCUUUUGAUCUAUCUCUGUAACAUCUGACACUACAGUUGACCUGUCCUUGUACAUAACAUGUUCAUUAAAUAUCAAAUUUCUACUUUUGAUGAUUUUCCUGUUUUGUUCAUCCCAAAACCUAUAGCCAAAUUUCUCAUCACCAUAGCUAAUGAAAAAACAUAUUUUUGACUUUGCAUCAAGUUUACUACGAGCAUCAGAAUCAAUAUGAACAUAAGAAACACAACCAAAAACUUUUAAAUGUGAAAACUUCACCUCUUUACCGCUCCAAACCUCCUCAAGAAGUCUGAACUCCAUGGGAACUGAUGGUCCUCGGUUUAUCAAGUUAGCUGCAGUGCUAACAGCAUUAGCCCAAAAAGUUUUUGGUAGUCCAGCAUGCAACCUCAUACUUAUAGCACGCUCAUUGAGAGUUCUGUUCAUGCGCUCAGCCACACCAUUCUAUUGUGGUGUCCUAAGAAUGGUCUUCUCCAUCCUAAUUCCCUGUGCAGCACAAUACUCACUGAACCCUCCAUCUAUGUACUCUCCUCCAUUAUCUGAUCUCAAACAUUUUACUUUCAAACUUAUUUCUGUCUCAACCAUGGUCUUCCAUUUCUUAAAAGUUUCAAAUACAUCAGAUUUAUUUUUCAGAAAAUAAACUCAUACCUUUCUACUUGAAUCAUCAAUAAAAGUGAUGUAGUAUCUUGAACCUCCUAUGGAUGCAACUGGAAAAGGCCCCCACAAAUCAGUGUGUACUAGUUCUAAUUUUUCAGCCUUUGGUGUCCUGCUAGUUUUCAAGAAGCUCACCUUUUUUUGAUUUCCUAAGAUGCAACUUUCACACAUGUCAAAAUCAAUGGACUUCAAUUCUGGUAGUUUUCCUUUUGACAGCAACAUCUUCAUCCCUUUCUCGCUCAUGUGACCAAGUCUACGGUGCCAUAGGCUUGUAUCAGUACUUGCAUCAACAACUGCAAUUAUGUCUCUUGGACAUGAGGUCAUAUAUAGAGUACCAAUCUUCUUUCCACGAGCCAAUACCCUAGCUCCCUUUGUAACCUUCCAAGUACCAUCAAUAAAUAGUAUUGCAUGUCCUUUAUCAUCAAGUUGUCUAAUAGAAAUCAGAUUCCUCCUCAGGUCAGGAAUAUGUCGAACCUUCUCCAGUAACCAAAUAGACCCAUUGGGCAACGAUAUUCGGACGUCUCCCAAACCCACAACAUCCAAGGCUAAACCAUCAGCCAAAUACACCUUACCAAAAUCACCUGCAACAUAAUUUUGUAUGAUUUCUCGGUGUGGAGUGGUAUGAAACGAAGCUCUUGAAUUCAAAACCCAAUCAUCAAGUGGAUUGUCUACUGCAAGAAGUAAUGCAUCCUGUACCUCUUUUGUUACAGCAUUAGCAAAAUAUCUUUAUUCUUCUUCUUAAAGCUUUUACAUUGCCUUUUAGAGUGACCUGAUCUAGAUUUGCUUCUGUUCCGAUUAGAAUUUCUGGAAUUUGAUCUACCCCGAUUUGAAUUUCUGUCAUUACCUUUGCCUUUUGUCUCAAGGUUUAGGGCAAAACCAGAUCCUGAGAUUUCACCUACAUCUCUUCGAUGAAUCUCCUCAGCCAUAAUUAAAUCUCGUAUAUCAUUGUACUUAAGCUUUUCCUUUCCCGUAGAAUUGCUUACUGCCAUCCUCAUUGCCUCCCAACUGUUUGGCAAAGAAGCCAAGACGAUCAGAGCACGAAUCUCAUCAUCAAAAUCAAUUUCUACAGACGACAAUUGAUUUGUGAUUGUAUUAAAUUCAUUCAGAUGUUGUGCUACUGAUGCAUUCUCUGUCAUCUUCAAAUUGAACAAUUUCUUCAUCAGAUGCACCUUAUUGUUUGCGGAUGGCUUUUCAUACAUACCGAACAAAGCCUUCAUCAAAUUUGCUAUGGUCUUCUCCUUCACAACAUUAUGUGCAACAGACCUAGACAAAGUUAACCUAAUAACUCCUAGAACCUGUCUGUCAAGAAGCGCCCAUUCCUCAGCCUUCAUACUCUCAGGUUUUGUCCCUAAAAGAGGCAGAUGCAAUUUCCUCCCAUAGAGAUAAUCUUCAAUCUGCAUCAUCCAAUACGCAAAGUCUGUGUCAUCAAACUUUUCUAUUCCAGACGUCUUUCCUAUUUUCUCUGUCAUUGCUCCCACUCAAACCUAACCCUAGGCUCUGAUACCAGUUGAAGGGAAUUAAACCGAAUUCCCAACCCGUGAGAAACAAAAAAAAAUAGAAAAAACACACGCCAAAGAAAAACAAUCACACACACAAGACAGUAUUUACAUGGUUCGGUAAUUUACCUACGUCCACGAAGUUACAGGGAUAUCACUAUUAUCAGGAAAGAAUACAAAGUUCAACCACAGCGACUACAAUAUUUUCUCUCUAUAUAUAACAUGGCAACAACAUCACACUAAAAAACCCUAAUUACAAAAGGUGGUUCCACAAUGGGCUAAACGGGCCCAACAGGCCUCAGUAAAUCUCUUAUUAAAAAGUCAUGCAAUAUUAUUCGGGUUGGGUCGUCAAACCGGAUCAAACAAAACUAGGCUCCACAAAGCCCAACAGUAGCCCCUAUGGAUUUCUUAUUCUUGGUUCGAUAAGCGCAUAAAACGCCUAAUAGCUUGUCUACCCAUUUUCCUUUUACUCCUUCGAGCCUUUUCUUUAAUGAAUUUAGCGACUUCUUGUUGAUUACCUCUGCCUAUCCGUUACUUUGAGGAUAUCUAGGAGUUGAACAAAGAUUUUUUAUCUUUAGUUCUAAACAAAAUGUCUAGAAGACAUUGCUAUCGAAUUGCGACCCAUUAUCUAUGACAAUUGCUUGGGGAAUUCCAAAUUGGCACACAAUAUUCUUUCAAACGAAUUUAAAAACAUAUUUAUCCUUGAUGCUGGCAUAGGAUUCGGCUUCCACCCACUUGCUGAAAUAAUUUGUUGCUACAAGCAACAAUUUUUUAUUUUUUUUUUUUUUUUUUGUGUCGCACCAAUUGGGAGCGGACCAACUAUAUCUAUUGCCCCUUACACAAACGAUCAAGGACUUGUAACCAAUUAAGGUACUCAAAACAGUAUUUCGAGUAUGGGAGCAUAUCUUUGACAUUGGUCAUACUUCUUGACGUAGCUUUCUGCAUCUUUUUUCAUGGUGUGCCAAUAGUAACUUUGGGAAUAGGCUCGAUGUGCCAGAGUUUGUUUGCCCGAUGAUUUCUACAUGUACCCUCGUGUAAUUUUGCUAGGAUAUAUUGCACCUCCAUAUCAUUUAGGCAUUUGAGAUAAGGUCCCCUAAAUGAUCAUCUAUACAGUUGUUCGUUUAUCAGAGUAUAUUGUGCGGCUUGUACUCGGAUUUUAUGAGUUUCCCUCCUAUCCUUAAUGACUUCUCCCAUGUGUAGAUAUUUCACAAUGUCUUCCAUCUACCCCAUAUCCAUUUAGACAAUAUCAUUUACUUAUUCAUGAGAAAUUGAGAAAGAGACUUGGUGAUAGAUUGGCAACAUCGUGGUUUCUUGUAUUGGCAAGGCGGUAGCAACCUCGGCUAGUGCAUCCACUCAUCCAUUCUUCUCUCAAGGUACACGUCAAAUCAACCAUCCUUCCACCUUUUUCAUUUGAGCAUCCACUAGGGCAAGAUACCGAGCCAUGCACUCGUCUCUUACUUCAUAUUCUCUUUGAAUCUGUCCAACCACUAUUUGUGAAUCACUUCUACGUUCUACUUUUGUGGCGAUAAGAGCCAAUGCUAGAUUAAGUCCAAUUAGGAUUACUUCGUAUUUCGCCUCAUUAUUAGACAUUGAAAAGUCAAGCCACACAGCUUGCUCAAUUUGUUCUCCCAUGGGAGAUUGCAACAUUGUUCCCACCCCGGCCCCUAAUGUUCUUGAUGAUUAAUCGUCUACAUGGAAAAUCCACCAUUGAGUUUCACUUCCAGGCUUCAUCCAUUCUUAGGGUAGUUCAGCUAUGAAAUCAUCAAGUACUUGUCCCUUUAAGGACAACCAAGGUUUGUACCAUAUGUCGUAUUCACUUAACUCAAUUGUCCAUUUUAUCAUUCAUCCAGAUAGAUCCGACUUAUGCAAAAUGACUCGUAAUGAUAGAUUUGUCAAAACCGUUAUUUGGUGAGCUUGAAAAUAUGGACGAAGCUUUUUGGGAUGAUCCGCAAUGUAAGGGUCAUUUGUUCCUUGGGAAUAUAGUGUCUCUACGUCUACCAAAGCUUUGCUCACGUAGUAGAUGGGAUUUUGCUCACUGUGUUGAUUGUGCUAGAAUAGAACAACGCUAACAACGAAGUUUGAUACGACUAAAUACAUGCAAUGAUGAAAAUAUCGAUAAUUACGGAUAUAUCGGUACUUUGAUUUUACGAAUAUAUCGAAUAUUUCGGAGAUAUAUCGACGGAUAUUUUGGAAAUAAAUAUCGGUAAGCUUAAAAUUGUUAAAAACUCAUGAAAAUGUAAGAAAAAUCUCAUAAUAAUAUAAUUAAAAAUAUAAUAGACAUUUUAAAGUUAUUUUAUUGAAAUUUUUUAUAUAUGUAUAACAUGAUUUAUCAUAUUUAAUAAUAAUAUUGUAUACAUUGAUAAAAAUAUGAAUUUUAUAAGUGUACAUUUAUUAUUAAAUUACACCUAAUAUUAUCAUAUUUGAUUAUAAUAUAUCUAAUUUUAAAAUAUAUAUUAGUAUUAAAAUAUGAUCCAUUUAAUUCAAUUGUAUUAAACAAUAUAAAAUAAUAUAUAUAAUUUUUUAAUAUUUAAUUAAUUAUUAAUGAUAUUAAAAACAUUAUAAAGAAAAUUAUAUAAUUUUUAUAUUUUUGGUAAUUAAUUAAAAGACUUUGCAUUUAAUUAUAAAAUAAUUAUAAUUAAUUUGCUCUUUAAAAUAUUCUUAUAUUUUCUUUAUAUAAUGAGUUUAAGUAUAUAUAUAUUUGCUGCAUAUUAUAUGUUAGCCCAAGUGGUAAGCGGGUGAACCCCAAACCUUUUGGUUUGGGGUUCAAAUCCUCUCGGCAGCAAGCAAAUGGGAGUGCACUGUAGCGCAUAUGACUUUCGUUGACCCACGUUGACCAUGCGAUAUAUCGGGGAAAAAUCGUCGAUUUAUCGACAAAUCACCGAUAUAUCGCGAGAAAUAGGUUAUUUCUCGCGAUAAAUUCCGAAAUAUCGUCGAACCGAUAUUUCUCCAUGAAAUAUCAUGUCGAAACCCUUCGAUACACGAUAUUUCGGCGAUAUAUCGCCAAAAUAUCGCGACAUUUUCUUCCUUGAGUACAUGUACAACUCUUAUUUGGCCUCAAGGAUGCUCAAAAUUGGUGGUUCUAAGUGAUACUAUUUUAUGGCUUCAAAGGCAAGUGCACAUUCACUUGUCCAACCAAACACUUUUGUUCCCCACAUAAUGUUGAAAAAAUGGCAAAGUUUAUCAAUGAAGCAUGCUAUGAAUCAUCCCAAGGCAGUUAAAUGGUCGAUCUAGCGCUACACCUCCUUCUUGAUGUUAAGAGUAAGGGAUUCUAGCACUGCUUUGACUUGGGUUGGAUUCACUUCUAUGCCCUUCUACGUUGCUAUAAAUUCGAGGAACUUACUCUGAAUACGCAUUUGAGCGAACUGAGUUUCAUGUCAUGCUUGUGCAUUAAUUUGAAUGCUUCUUCCAAGUGAUGAAGGUGCUCGAAACAAUUUUUACUUUUGAUGACAAUGUCAUCAAUAUAGACUUCCACUAUGAGACCUAUUAAAGGCUUAAAAAUGCGAGUCAUCAACCAUUGAUAGGUAGCACAAGCAUUCUUCAACCCAAAUGGCAUGACUUUGUAAUAAUACAACCCUUGUGGAGUAAUGAAUGCCGAUUUUUCUAUCCUCACCCCUUUAUCCCCUCCAAAAUUGUGUAGACUCCUCCAAAAAUCCUAAUCAUGUCUAUCUUCCUUUCUUAAUGAGAAUUCCUCCCAAAAAAAACUCUUUCAUUUCCUUCUCAAAUUUUCCAAGUUGUGAUCCUCAAUCUCAAAUCAUCCUCCCUAUCCAAAAGUCCUCUUAGUUGUGGACGCUCUCCUGCAAUAAAUGGAGGCCUACCACCUUCCUUAAAACUACUUCAUCUUUCCUUAAACUCGCAAUCUCUAUAUAUGCAGCCCAUAGACUCCUUCUAAGAUCCUAUGUGUGUGAAUCCCUUUUUGUUCUAUGGCAACCCUUCUCUUCCUAAAAUUUGUGUAUCAUUUCUCUACUUCCCUUAUGUGUCUUUAAAUUCAAAGAAAGUCUUAUGGCAGCCACCUUCCAAAGAGAGUCCUCUUGAUUUUAAAGUCUCCAAAACCGUGAAUAAUUUCCAUCAAUAAUUCAUGGUAGCCCUCUUAAUCUAAAGUUUCUAAAAUAGUGAUCUAAAGAAUGUCCACAGUAUCAAACUCUCCAUGGUAGCCGUCCUCAAGAAAUCCCACCUCAAUCUAAAAUCUCCUCCUCUCAAAGUCUCACCAUGCCAUCUACCUCUUUAUAGAAUCCUCUCAAUUUUAAAUUCUUUCAUAUGGUGGUUGCACCCUCAAAGGAAAAUUCCAUGUCGUGAACUAUGUCUAAGAUGAAGUCUAUUACAAUACCAAUUAAAAAAAUACAGGAACCAAAUACACUUGACAUGGCACUUAACCAAUGUUUGAACCAAAUACAGGAACUUGACAUGACAGUUGAAUCAACAAGCAUGUAGAGAACUCAUUUCAAGCACUUUGAGAUAUAACAUACACUCAUUUUCUUUUUUUAAGAGCUCCAUUGUAUCAUGUAUUUCUUUCAACAUGUGCUUAGCCAUCAAAUAAGACGUGAAUGAAUAUAUCCUUAUUUAUCGCAUCGGUUUUUAUAAAUCAUUAUGAUCACAUUUUAUACCCUAGUAAAGGUUUUGUGUAUGUUAUUCUAAUAUGAUAUUUAUGAUUAUGAUUUGAUACAAAGUAAAAGGACGCCAUUGAAAAAACACUACCUCAAAGUUCAAAGGCACGAGACAAAAAGAAGACCAUCUAUUAUCACAUCCUAGUGUUAUGCUCAUCAUCGGCGACUUAUAUUUCACAUAAGGUAUUGUAAUAUAAAGGUGAGAAUACUUCUUAAAACAAGAUUUUGAAGCAUUUUUAAAAUAGAUGAAACAUGCUUAAUUCAAUAAACUAAAUGGGAGAAUGCAACAAGACACGCAAGUGAUAAACUAUACUAAUCCAUGCCAAAAUUUGGCCAAUGAGUAGAAAUCACACGCAAGUGAUAAACUAGUCAAGGAAGGCCCAAUAGGAGAGUUGGAACAUGCAUAAGAUGUUUCUUCUCAUGGUCAAUGAGUAGAAGAUGAUACAGACACUACACUUCUAGGUGAGGACGGCCCAUUUAGAUUUCUAUAUGAGAAUCUCAACGGUAGAUUCCAUCUUAUGACAUCCCAAAGAUAUUAAUUAUUAAUCAAGACAAUGUUUUAAUAUAAUUCUUACAUCUGUGAAAAUAACAAUAUUAAUAUAAAAAAAUAUUGAAACUUAUAAAUUAAAAUAUAGAUUUCUUAUAUUUCUAAAAAUCACAUUCUAUAAAAUUUAAGUUAUUAAAUUUUUUUUAUUACCACAUUUUAAUUAGAUUUUAAAACAUUUUCCAUAUAUGCUAUUAAAAAUUCUUAUAUUUUAUAUAAAAAUUAGUACUUUUUAUUAUCAUGAAACCAAUCAUAUCAAGUAACAAUUUUAAUACUAUAUACAUAUAACUUCUUAUAGAUUUUUCCAGCAUUUCCUAAAAUUUUCAUUUCAUCAAGACUGGUGUUCACAAUUUUUGAUAUUUUUACAAAAUAUCCCACAUCAAAUAAUAAUAUAGGAUUCCAAACUUUCAAAUCAUAUGCUACAACCAUAUUCUCAUCCCACCAACUCUUUUAACUUAACUUUCUUUGUGAAAAUGAAAAAUCACUUAUUCAGCGAUCUCAUUGCCCAACUCUUUUUCUGUUAACAAGAGAAACAAAGUUUAUAAUACAAGCAAGAAUCAAGUCUAUAGUUUUACCUAAUGGAUUAAGGAGUCACCAUUUGAAAAUCAAGUUUUUAUUUGGUUCAUGGUUAGAUGCUAGAUCCCAAAAUGUUAAUACGCAAGAAGCCCUCAGAUCUCAUACACGGUAAGGCUCAUGGUUUUCAUUAAAGGCCAGUCCACACCUUCAAAAUAAUAAUAAUAAUAAUAAUAAUUGUCAUAACACAGAGGCUGAUGAAGAAGGAGGAGAAGGGGGAGGCUAUUAAUGAAAACCAUAUAACCACACAUGAGUUUUCCAUCAUUGGGCAUUUGCUCACCACAAUGAAAAAGAUAACCACAAUUUCGGAUAUCCACCUGUGAUUCACUAGUGAUAUAAUGAGUUCAUCAAUCUAUACCAAUUGACCUUUUUAAAUAAACCCAUUCGAUGAUUCGAUUUCUUGAAAGGCAACAAGCUGAGGCAAAAAGCUUCUUGCUUAGCAGAUUGUCUGAAGUUCCAACUUGCAUAUAAACUCAUGCUCUUCAAAAAAGCAAACAUAGAUCUUUCUCAAAAGGCAAUAUUAAAAAACAAAGAAGUAAAAAUUCAGUGGGAGUGGUAAUGGCAUAUGAAAAUUUAAAACCAUAACUUUCAUCACAUGCUAAAACUGGGUUGAUCUAAAAGGAAAUGUAAGAGAAGUGAAGGACAAAAAAAAGAAAGAACCAGACAAUAACAUCUAUUGAUAGCCCUCAGAUCUCAUAGCUAUUAUUAGUCAUCGUCAGUUAUAACAAACUGAUUCUUAUUAAGAGCCUCCACAUCUUCAACCACAGUAGAAAAGAGAGAUAGAGAGAGAGAGAGAGAGAGAAAGAGAGAGGUGGUGGUGGUGAGGCUGAUGGUGAGGAUGAGAGUAAAGGCUCCUAAUAAAAAUCAAUUUAAACCCUCCACAAAAUAAGUUUUCCAUCAUCGGGCAGAUGUUCAUAUUGAUAUUAUUGUCGACUGAAAAAUCAGGAUACACCUAUAAUAAGAGAGGACUGCAUGCAAGAAAACAGUUCAUUUAUAAAAAAUAAAAAUAAAAAAACAGAAAGAAAGAUAAAAGAUGAAAUAAGAAAACCAAUUCAUAAACAAACAAAAUGUGUAAUUAUACUAAAACAAUUUGAGCUUAAAGCAGAAGUACAACAGGAAAAAUACAACAGCAGCUUAAACCUAUAAUCAGUUUGGGUGGGUCAGAUGUGUUCAGCUAAAUAAUGUUUCAAUGAUUAAAUGAAAUAGGACCAUAUGAAAAAUUAUGCAGUAUCUGCCCACCAAUAACCAAAAGAAAUAAACAAGGGCAAAUCCCAAAUAAAUAAAUUUUCAAAUCUCAAACCAUCAAUCUAAAUUAAGCUAUAGAAGUAAUAAUGCCAAGAAGAACAUCAACAGAAUACUAGAAAAAUCCAAGGAAUAAAUAAUGGAUAGGAUUAAAUGGAUGCAAUAUCCUCAAGAAAUGGACACCUGUAAAUACCACAAAAGCAAAUAGCUUACAAUUGGUCUAUAUCUUGUCAUAGCUGAGCACAUCUAUAAGAUAUACACACCACCAAAAUAACUUUAUUCUACUACAUAAUGUUGUUUAAUCAUAACAUCAACUUAUUCAAAUAUGCAAAAGGCAGUUAGUACAGUUCACCUGCUGAUCUUCAAGACUUAAACCAACCAGCACUGUACCCAUAUGAGAUAAGAAACACUCCAUUCACAUAAGCUUCCAGCACUAGUACCAUAGAAAAAUAAUACACAGUGCUAACUUCAACAUCACCCCCAUAGGCAUCGAAAUCUCAGAAAAUAACAAGACAAAACCAUUGGAUAUAACAAUAGUCUCCAAAACAAGUCUCAACUGGGCGAGUAUCAGUGAGAACUUCAUUCCCAAGAUUAAGAGCCAUUCAAAAUACUAGAAAAGCUCAAACUUCAUAUGAGACAAAAUGGGUUUUUUUUUUUUUUUUGCAAAUCAAGUUUCCAUUCGAAAAACAUAGAUAUGAAGAGUACAUUUACAUGGUUCUCAUUAACCUAAAAAGAUUGUCAACAGUUCAAUGUCUUAGAUGCCAUAUUACAAUAUAUAAACAAGUAAAGCCCUCAGAUCUCAUAGCUACCAAUAUUCAUAGAAGGUAAAGCUUGUAAUUUUCAUUAGAAGCCAAUCCACAACUUGAUAAUAAUAAGAAUGCUAACAGCAGUAGUAAGAAGAAGAAGAAGAAGAAGAAGAAGAAGAAGAUGAUGAUGAUGAUGAUGAGGGAGGCUCCUAGUGAAAACCACAGCAACCACACCAAAUAUGAGAAUUCCAUCAUAGGGCAGAUGGCCAAGAUUCAAAAGCUUUGUCAUCCAUGGUUUAUAGAAUGAAAUAGUCCAGAUAAUAAGAACAUAAAAGAGAGCAUAAUCACAAAGGAAGGAAUGGUAAGAAGAGGUCAGAAGAGCCAAAGAAGAAACGAGCAUAAAGACUCCCGCAGAAACCAUAAACAAAGCUGCUUCGGAAAAACACAUUCAGAAUUACAAGGAAGCAGAUUUCACAAUCAAUAGUAAUUGUAACAGAAGUUCUCAUUUGUUUAAAAGACAAUAAUAACACACGUUGUGCAUUAUGGGAUCAAAGAAAAGAUCAAGAAGCAACCCAUGUUAAGGACUUGCCUGACUUUUAGGGGAAAAAAAAAGGUGAUCAUAGGUACAACAAAGCACUUAAAACAGUGUAGACAAACUUGAUAACGCAACUUGGCCCCUCAAAUUUGUUGAAAAAUGGUGAGACUGAGGUUCCGACUAGUGCGUUUUUUAAUGAACCACACUGACCUCUCAAAAGGCUAUCUUAAUUAUAUAAUUCUGUGAAUAAAAAGGUCAAAACAUGCACAUAGUUAAAUUGAUCUCAAAUAAUAGCAGGAUAACAAAAUAAAGCACCCAUCACGUGUGUGACCCAUAGGAUGAAAAUCCGUUGCACCAAGUAAUUUCACUAGUCUUAACUCAGGUCGUAAGGGUAUAUUUCCAAUCAUUCAAAAAGUCAGCAACUUAAUUCAUGUAAUUGAAACUCCACCAGUAACCUAAUGACACCAAAAUAACAAUGUGAUAGUUGUCUGAUAUUUAAACCAAUCGAAAUCCAUUCUGAGGCAGUAGCAAUGAUAGAAGAAAACAUUUCAAUAGUUAUACCUAAACCCGAUUCAAAAACCAAAACACUUGAUCAAAUGAAACAAAAAAGAAAGGACGCAAUGGAUAGAAAAUCGCAAAAAAAAAAAAAAAACAUAGACAAAAAUAUACUAAAAAAGCCCUCAGAUCUCAUAGCUAUCAUAAGUCAUUGUUAGUAAAACAAACCGGUUUUUAUUAAGAGCCUUUCCACAUCUUUAUCCAUACUAAAGAGAAUGUGAAAGAUUGAGGGAGGAAGAGGAGAGAUAGAGAGAGAGAGAGAGAGAGAGAGAAAGCGAGAGAGAGAGAGAGAGAAGACAGAUUAAGAAGAAUAUGGCGAGGAUGAUAGUCAAGGCUCCUAACAAAAACGACUGCAACCCCCUCCAUAGAAUGAGUUUUCCAUCAUUGGGCAGAUGAAUUGAAAUAAUAACUAAUAAUCAGAACACCAGCCAUGAAUGCUUGUAAGAAACAAUUAUAAGUUUAAAAGAUUAAUUAAAAAAUUAAAAUAUAUAUAUAUCAUAAAAGAAAACAUAAUGAUCAAAACAAAUUGAAGACCACAAUAUUCUCCCUAUCUGAAGAUAAAUGAAACAAGACAUCAAGAUUUGUUUUCUUGGUUAAUAUUCAAAUAUGUUGACAAAACCAACAAAAACUCCAUACCAAAAAAGUAAUUGCAACAUUUAAAGGCAAAUGAUAUGAGAAGGGUGGUCAGAUACAGCUUUCUAGGCUAGCAUUUCCAUCAAUAUUACUCAGAGCCCAGUGCAUAUCAUCAUUCGUUCUAAAAAAUCAACAAAAGAAAGGAUAAAAAUGUCCAUUGAAUAAAACUCUAUUAUUCAAGAAAAAUCUUGCAACUGCAAGAUCCAUAAAAUCGACACCGCAUUUGAUGAAAAUCCUCAGAUCUCAUGCCUUUGAACAAACAAUCUAGGGUUUUGUACUCAAUCGCAUUCAUCAAAACCCUUUUCUAUAUAACACAGUAAUUCAUAAUAAAAACUAACAAACAACGUAGCCAUCCGACAGCUCCGCAGCCACCGUCGCAGGAGUCGUCAGCCCGGAGUGCGAGCAGAGGUAGAUGGGAUCAUGGGAAGAGGUAUAGAAUGACGUACGUAGGGUUUUAUCGCCCAUUUAUAGGCAGAGUUGAAUUCCUAAAAGAACCCUGGAUUUAGUCGUAAAUAUCUAGGUUCACCCGAUCUGGGCUUUUCUUUGGGUUUGGGCUUAUUUGAUAUAUCGAAAGUGAUGGGCCAGGCUAAGCUUUCGUGGGUUGUAUU
This 14711-nucleotide long non-coding RNA is filed under the name Vitis vinifera (wine grape). RNAcentral's name for it is "long non-coding RNA (VVIN_LNC006177)". The record is from RNAcentral. Lineage: Eukaryota; Viridiplantae; Streptophyta; Magnoliopsida; Vitales; Vitaceae.